UUGUUGAGUUUACUCAACAAUUAGCGGCGGACGGGUGAGUAACACGUGGGCAACCUGCCUAUAAGACUGGGAUAACUUCGGGAAACCGGAGCUAAUACCGGAUAUGUUCUUUUCUCGCAUGAGAGAAGAUGGAAAGACGGUUUCGGCUGUCACUUAUAGAUGGGCCCGCGGCGCAUUAGCUAGUUGGUGAGGUAAUGGCUCACCAAGGCAACGAUGCGUAGCCGACCUGAGAGGGUGAUCGGCCACACUGGGACCGAGACACGGCCCAGACUCCUACGGGAGGCAGCAGUAGGGAAUCUUCCGCAAUGGACGAAAGUCUGACGGAGCAACGCCGCGUGAACGAUGAAGGCUUUCGGGUCGUAAAGUUCUGUUGUUAGGGAAGAACAAGUACCAGAGUAACUGCUGGUACCUUGACGGUACCUAACCAGAAAGCCACGGCUAACUACGUGCCAGCAGCCGCGGUAAUACGUAGGUGGCAAGCGUUAUCCGGAAUUAUUGGGCGUAAAGCGCGCGCAGGUGGUUCCUUAAGUCUGAUGUGAAAGCCCCCGGCUCAACCGGGGAGGGUCAUUGGAAACUGGGGAACUUGAGUGUAGAAGAGGAAAGUGGAAUUCCACGUGUAGCGGUGAAAUGCGUAGAGAUGUGGAGGAACACCAGUGGCGAAGGCGACUUUCUGGUCUAUAACUGACACUGAGGCGCGAAAGCGUGGGGAGCAAACAGGAUUAGAUACCCUGGUAGUCCACGCCGUAAACGAUGAGUGCUAAGUGUUAGAGGGUUUCCGCCCUUUAGUGCUGCAGCUAACGCAUUAAGCACUCCGCCUGGGGAGUACGGCCGCAAGGCUGAAACUC
This 845-nucleotide ribosomal RNA is filed under the name uncultured Bacillus sp. Its description in RNAcentral is "bacterial SSU rRNA". It matches the Rfam family "Bacterial small subunit ribosomal RNA", at positions 71 to 902 of the family's 1533-position model. Lineage: Bacteria; Bacillati; Bacillota; Bacilli; Caryophanales; Bacillaceae. The record is from RNAcentral.